UGAAUAAUAUAUAUAAUUUACAAUUACAUUGACUUAUAAAAAUAUCCUUCGAUAUCAUCUCGAAAAAAAUCACAGAUAUUUGAACAAAAAUAAUCUCAAAAAUCGAAUGUCAAUAGUCGCAAAAGCUUUCGAAACAACAAAAGACUAAAUUCACUCAGCGUAGGAACAGGAGUGAUAAAAAAAGACGAAAGUCAAAUGUAUUUCUUUACCGCGAACACAUACCACGUGCGUUCGAUUGCACUCUUAUUUUCAAAUAGAAGAUUAUUUUCUUUCUCGCCAAUGAUAAUCAAUAAUAAAUGUUCUUUAAAAUCAUUGAGAAAAUCUGUGGAUAUAUAUAGGACAUCCAAAAUACGAUUUAAAGUGUGACGAGGUGCGAAAUUGCAACGAUGUUUGAACAAAUUAUCGAAAUCGUUACAUCUGUUCCCUGAAUUUGUUCAUCCGAGACUGAUUCUCAAAUCUAAAAACAUCAAACAUGCCUGAGUGCGUGAUUUGUGGAGGUACAGAAUUUUAUGUCGAGGCAGGUUUUUACUUUUGCCAGGAAUGUCAAACGCAGACCCAGGAUGUACGUGAGGAAAUACUAGAUGUAAAGUACGAUGCCACAACUCGAUUAAGAAAGCUGCGAAUACAUUCCAAUAAAACAAAUGAAUCCCAGGAACCUUUGGGGUGGACAACUUGGGAACAGUACAAUUUCAUAUUGCUUGGUAUGGUGAAUGAAUUUGUAGAGCUGGGAGCCUCCAUUGACAUAAAACUGACAAUCCUACAGCUCUGGGCAGCUUAUCUGAAGAAGCUUGAGGUAGCUUUCACAUCGACGAAGCAACAAAAAGUCCCAAAAUUAGCAAAAAAAUAUAACAAGAGAGAUGCUGAAAUAAUUUAUGGAAAAAUAGCAGAACGCAAAAAGAAGCAAAGACGACGCACCGGCAGUCACACUAGCGCUUCAUCCUCAGUUUCGGGAUUGCAAAGUGAAGAUAACUCAACUAGGAUGAUGAAUCAACAGAAGAAACGAAUGAUAGCAGCGGAGUACGAGCGAUAUGUUAAUGAGAGUUCUGAGGGUGAGGAAGCGAGCGUUAUGAAUCAGAGUUUGUACAGCGUACAGUCGAGCACAGGGAGAUCGUCGAACAGAUCAGAACUUCGAUUUCGAUUUAACAAGGCAGCGAAAAAAGAGUCCGAUAAGAUAAGAAGAAUGUCAAUGAAGUUGCCACGACAAAUUCGUGAAAAGUUCCGUGAAACGUACAGACGAAGUGUAUUUUGUGAUGGGCCGCAAAUUAUGACGCCUAUGCAAUUGUGGUCGUUGAUUUAUCUCGCGCUUCGAAUCCACGACGAAAAUAUCCAGUUGGGAGAUAUGUUGAGGUGGGCACGAGAAGGACACUUGUCAUACUAUAGAUUGGAUAAUUUGCUACCACCGGAAGUGACUCUAACGAGAAAGGAAGUAAACAUGCUGUAUCAAAGGGGAGAAAUAAAGCACAAAGGCUUGAGGCGAUCGAUUGGAAACCUCGCGAGAUUUCUGGACGUUUGGGAAACGAAAAAACCGGAUCUCAUGACACUGAUAGAGAGAUAUUGCACCGAGCUGCAGUUGCCAAAAGGAAUAGCAAGUUACGCAGAACGAAUGAUGGCAUUGUCGCCACCAAGAAUGCUGUUUAAUGACAAAACAACGUGGUUCCCGAACUACGAAGGCAGAGCGAUGGCAUUUAUCGUCGUAGUGCUGAAAAUAUUGUUCGCCCUUGAUGGAGUCACCGAGUACGAGAUCAGUCGAGUAGUUGAAAGGAUCAAUAAAGCUGCCAGAGCGAAAGGUUUGACCAGAUCGAAACUCUUCAGUUUUUGCGAAUGGCAACGCUACAUCGAGUGUCGUCGGAAUCUAUUGACGAACGUUCAUUAUCCAACGAAAUUGAAGAGAGCUUCUGACACUCCUGGCAACAGCCAUCUGUUCUUGAAUUAUUUCAAUGCUAUUAAAGCCAGAAGUAGCCACAGAGAGGAGCCGGAAAUCACGUCGUAUCAUCAUCUGAUGCCUCGAGAUCUCACUGACGCGAUGAAAAAUAUAUUCGAAAAAUUGGACGAGACCGCGAGCCCGGCUCAGAAAGAAGUCGAAAUAUUUCCAGCCUCGCUAACACCGCAAUAUUCCUAUUUGCAACGUAUGCUGGAACAUCCUGAAAAAGAUUUACCGUCCGUAUUACACGCGAAUUUCAGAGCAAUGAAAAUUGGUUAUAUAACAGAGCCAAAAACGCUUGAAACUUUGGCUGCGCAUUGCAAUAUCAAUCUGAGGAUCGUCGACGCCGGAUUACACUUUUUCGAUAAAGUUAUACCUCCUUAUCAGCAACCGAGGCUUCCAACUAUUCAAGAAUAUAACGAAAGAGUACAAAUUGAGCAGCCAAUCAAAACUGGAACUCAUUCUGAAGCUGAAGUUUGCAACGAUCUCGAAGAAUAUCUUCAUCGCAAAGGUCCCUUCGUUCUUCACAUCGAUCCAUCGAAACGUGACGAGUACAUGGGAGUUUUCGAAGCUUCGGAAAAACGUCGUUCAAACUCGAUGAACAAUUCCUUCGAUUUUUGUUUCGACGAAGUAUUACCAAAUGGCAAGCUUCUAGUGAUCAAUGACGAAAGUUCCCGGCCUGUGACUGCGAUAGAGACUGGCAAUGAUUUUGAAACCGGCAGCAAUAACGAACCCCAUCGAAUAAUGGAUUUUCUUGAAAAGUGCAACUUCCGUAUGUCGAGGUUCGAAAAGUCCACGCUAAUUACGACUUUGGAGGGCAAGUCCAUACAGCCUCGACUUCGUAAACCAAAACCUGAAACAAGGCGAGACCCUUCAACGGGAAAAUUCGUCCGGGCUGAGGCUUCAGUUCAUGAAAAAGCUGCGGAAGACACUCCAUUCAGAAAAUCGAACGAGAAGAUAUCGUCUUCAAUGAAUAAGAAACUUGACGAGGGCGAAGCUAACGAAAAGGAUGAGCCUGACGACGGAAAGCCCAUGCGCUGCAACGGUUUGGAUUCGAGUUACAAUUUUGGACUGAUCGACGACGACAUAUCCGUGUUAGACGAGACCAGUUCGGAAUCAUCCGUAGAAAAUCUGGGGGAAAAUGAUUUGCCGAGUGAGAAAGAUGAAACAGAAACUUUGUUCAGACCGUACACCGACUACUGGCUAUUACGUUGUAUAUUCAGUCAAACCCAUCAAGCGAAUUUCCAAGACGUUUUAAAAAUGCUUCCUUACAACUUUCGUUGGCUUUUGGAGGAGUGCAGCAGUAUCGUCGAGAUGUCAGAAGAGGAUCUUUACGAGGAAAUUCAUUUAGUCGAAUCGUAUUUCUCUGAUGUAUUGACACCGAAACAAAAUCCACCAGCAAGCAACAGCUACGAACGUCAGGAAUAUCGAUCGCGCUCUCACUGCAAUUACAUCAGAAAAAAGUGGUGAAUAAUGAUUGAGCUCGUAGCAAUGAAAAUCGACGAAGAACGACAAAAAUACUUCUCAUGUGCCACGUACACCGAGCUUAUAAAUCAUCCACGUGGCACAUGGGAAAAUAUAUUUUUCUAUUCUUUCAACGCAGCUGCUACGUUAUUGACAAGCCUCCUCCAAGUACGCGUUCUUCCUCUCGGCAUAUUCACGGAUUCGAGGAAGCGAGGGGGAGAGUAGAGACUGGCAGAGACAGCGAUAGCGGACGUCAGGUCGAACUAGGUGCAUCGUCUCUAGAAGGUAAAUAAAAAACGAAGAAAAAUCGUUCUGAUACGGUCGGAGGCAACUGUUGCGCUCGAGUUUCGAGGAAGCGUUCGGUAAAAUUCGGAAAGACUCGGGCGUCUCGUCUGCUGCGUUUCGUCCCUUUACUACUUGGUUCUGUCCCGAGGUACGGGUUUUACUGUUGCGUACACUUGCGGCGACGCUCUCGCGAAGGCACCACACACUGUGGAACACGGCGCAGGAGUUUGGUGGAGGAGAGAAAUCGUGUGUUGGAGAAAGACCGAGAGAAAUAAAUAUAUGUGACAAGGGGGAAAAGGAGAUAAAAAUAAAAAAAAUAGGCUGGCGCAGUGUGUCUACCGAGGCACAACUGUCGUUGGUGCACGCAGCGGGGCAACAUUUUUCGAUAGUAAACACAUCGGUUGUGCUUAAACGAGCGGAAAGGUCAAAAAAAUUCGCUUUUUCGUCAGAUUUAUAAUAAAAAUUGAGAAAAACA
Molecule: unclassified non-coding RNA, 4145 nt
Filed under: Venturia canescens
Lineage: Eukaryota; Metazoa; Arthropoda; Insecta; Hymenoptera; Ichneumonidae
Description: tATA box-binding protein-associated factor RNA polymerase I subunit B, transcript variant X2
Source: RNAcentral